Molecule: ribosomal RNA, 253 nt
Filed under: uncultured bacterium
Lineage: Bacteria
Description: partial 16S ribosomal RNA
Rfam family: Bacterial small subunit ribosomal RNA
Source: RNAcentral
GACAGAGGUGGCAAGCGUUGUUCGGAAUCACUGGGCUUAAAGGGCGCGUAGGUGGUAGUGCAAGUCUGAGGUGGAAUCUUAGGGCUUAACCCUAAAAUUGCCUUGGAAACUGCACUACUUGAGUCAGUGAGGGGAGGGUAGAAUUCCUGGUGUAGCGGUGAAAUGCGUAGAUAUCAGGAGGAAGGCCGGUGGCGAAGGCGGCCCUCUGGCGCUGAACUGACACUGAGGCGCGAAAGCGUGGGGAGCAAACAGG